CUCAUUAAGGUGGGUGGAAUAGUAUAACAAUGUUGUUCCUAAUGUUGUUAUAGUAUCCCACCUACCCUGAUGUA
Non-coding RNA from Salmo salar (Atlantic salmon), 74 nucleotides. The record is from Rfam. NCBI's taxonomy places the organism in Eukaryota, Metazoa, Chordata, Actinopteri, Salmoniformes, Salmonidae.